Scylla paramamosain (green mud crab) is the source of this 4884-nucleotide long non-coding RNA. RefSeq lists it as uncharacterized. The transcript has 2 exons. Lineage: Eukaryota; Metazoa; Arthropoda; Malacostraca; Decapoda; Portunidae. The record is from RefSeq and is a predicted model, not a curated record.
CUCUCUCUCUCUCUCUCUCUCUCUCUCUCUCUCUCUCUCUCUCUCUCUCUCUCUCUCUCUCUCUCUCUCUCUCUCUCUCUCUCUCUCUCUCUCUCUCUCUCUCUCUCUCUCUCUCUCUCUCUCUCUCUCUCUCUCUGUGUGUGUGUGUGUGUGUGUGUGUGUGUGUUGUGUUUGUGGGUCGUUGUUGCGCUGUGAAGGUUUUCUACCGAUAUUAUUAUUAAUUUAUUUUUAUUAUUAUUAUUUAUAGACCAUACAUACAUACAUACAUACAUACAUACAUACAUACAUACAUACAUACAUACAUUACUUUUAUACAUUCCGUUUCUGCCCAACACACACACACACACACACACACACACACACACACACACACACACACACACACACACACACACACACACACACACACACACACACACACACACACACACACACUGGUAUUCUUCCUGUGUGUGUUUGUGUGUGUGUGUGUGAGAGAGAGAGAGAGAGAGAGAGAGAGAGAGAGAGAGAGAGAGAGAGAGAGAGAGAGAGAGAGAGAGAGAGAGAGAGAGAAUACGUACACAGAUUCUUUUAUACGCAUGUGAUUAAGGAGGCAAGAAAGUGUUAUGUUGUGAUCUUGAACUUUGUUUUAUCUUUUGUUAGGUCAGGUUAGGUUAGAUAAGGUCAGGUCAGGUUUGGUUAGGUUAGGUUAGGUUAGGUUUAGUUAGGUCAGGUUAGGUUAGGUUUAGUUAGGUCAGGUCAGGUCAGGUUAGGUCUGACUGGAGUGUUACAGUAGCUAGACCAAAUCUUAAUUUUUUUUUUUUUUUUACUUUAUUUCAGUUAAAAAGAAUCUCAUUCAUUAGAGAAAGAGAGAGAGACCUAAGAUUUAUUUGUUUGUUAAUCAUUUAUGUCAUUUAUGCAUUGUUUCUAUUAUUUACAUUAUUAUUAUUUAUUAUUAUUAUUAUUAUUAUUAUUAUUAUUAUUAUUAUUAUUAUUAUUAUUUGCAGAUAUUUAUUUGAUCUAUUCUGUGGAAUUUUCUAUUGCAUAUUUGUUGUCUUGUUUUUCACUUUUGUAAUCUCAGAGAGAGAGAGAGAGAGAGAGAGAGAGAGAGAGAGAGAGAGAGACCAACAAACAAUAUUUCACUAACAUGCCAAAAAACAAACAAGCAAACAAACAAACAAACAAACAGACAGACAGACAAGGCAUGGACAGCUAUUAAUAUAUAUAUAUAUAAAAUAUUUGUAGUAAUAUAUGGAUUAAUACGCUUGUUUGUAUGUACGUAUGCAUGUGUAUAUGCGUGUAUGACUUAAGGUGUGCGGAAUCUAGGGACAUUUUUAGGGAUUUUUAUUUUUUAUCUUUCAUUUUCUCCCUAAGUGGCUUUCAGAUAAGGCUGUUUACAUUAUUUACUUCUAAGGUCAUGUGCUGUACUUACCUAAACUAAACUAACCUAACCUAGGGCUCUGAAGUGUACCCCAGUAUUCUGACUCUACUUGGCUCAGGCUGCAGCGGAAGUUGCUGGGGUUUUCAAGGGUGUUUUCAAGAUUCCAGUGACAAUUUGGGGUGGUUUUCAAGGGUGUUUUCAAGAUUCCAGUGACAAUUUGGGGUGGUUUUCAAGGGUGUUUUCAAGGUUUCAGUGAUAGUUUGGGGUUUUUCAAGGGUUUUCAAGGUUCCAGUGAUAAUUUGACAGGCUGCAGUGGAAGUUAUUGGGGUUUUUCAAGGCUCCAGGGAUAGUUUAACAGGCUGCAGUGAAAAUUAUUGGGGUUUUCAAGGCUCCAGGGAUAGUUUAACAGGCUGCAGUGAAAAUUAUUGGGGUUUUCAAGGCUCCAGGGAUAGUUUAACAGACUGUAGUGAAAAUUAUUGGGGUUUUCAAGGCUCCAGAGAUAGUUUAACAGACUGUAGUGAAAGUUAUUGGGGUUUUCAAGGCUCCAGGGAUAGUUUAACAGACUGCAGUGAAAAUUAUUGGGGUUUUCAAGGCUCCAGGGAUAGUUUAACAGGCUGCAGUGGAAGUUAUUGGGGUUUUCAAGGCUCCAGGGAUAGUUUAACAGGCUGCAGUGGAAGUUAUUGGGGUUUUCAAGGCUCCAGGGAUAGUUUAACAGACUGUAGUGAAAGUUAUUGGGGUUUUCAAUGCUCCAGGGAUAGUUUAACAGGCUGCAGUGGAAGUUAUUGGGGUUUUCAAGGCUCCAGGGAUAGUUUAACAGACUGUAGUGAAAGUUAUUGGGGUUUUCAAGUGUGUGUUUAUGGUCCCAGUCAUAUCUAUAAACAAUUCUAGUUGGAAAAACACUCAAGACUGUCUCAGCAACUUUUCCUGUGGCCUGAGAAAACAGAGAAAAGAGGGUAUUGUCAUUUAGAGUGCUGGCUGCUGUGUCUAAGUAGAAUGAGGUGUGUGUGUGUGUGUGUGUGUGUGAGUGAUGGUGAUGGACACACAGAGAGAGAGAGAGAGAGAAAGAGAAAGAGAGAGAGAGACUUAUCACACUCCUCUAUGUAUUGUAAUGUCGAGAAUUAUCAUUAUUAUUUUUUUUUUUUUUUUGUGUGAUUUUAUUUGAUAUAUUUUUAUAUUUUUUCUAGUUUGUGAAAGAAUCUUAUAUAUAUAGACAUGUUGGCUUCUCAGAGUCCCUUCACGUCACCCUUUGCGAUAUCUAUACAUAUAUAUAUAUAUAUUCAUAUAGUUUAUGGCAAUAUUUUAACUGGCUGUUUUGUGUGUGUGUGUGUGUGUACGUGUCUGAGUGCGUGUGUGUGCGUGUGUGCGUUUUUUGUAGCCUUCGCAUAAAUUUAGAUGGCAGCUUCGAUGGGUUUUUUGGAAUUUUUUUGCAAAUAUUAACUACAUUAUUUUGUCACCACCAGAGUUUGGGUUGUUUCACCAAGGUCUGUGUAUUCCGAGGCACGGCUCUCACUUCAACUGUUUUCCCAAGGCCACAGGGAAGCCUAGCCGGGUCCCAGAGUCAGCUACCCCCGUUAGCAAUGCAGAAAUGUCAUUAAUCUGCCCCUAGAACUGUGAAAAACCCUUAAAUAACCCGCGUCACUUCAACUACAGCCUUUGGAAAUUAGUGUUGGCGAGGUGUAUAAGUGUUGAAAGAGUACAGGGCUGUGUGUGUGUGUGUGCAGGCGUGCGUGUGUGUGUCUAUAUUAGGGUUAAGUAUCAUAAUAGAGUUCUGAUGCUGUGUUGAUCUGCCCAUGCAACUUGAAGUAAUAGUGUGUGUGUGUGCGUGUGUGUGUAAGGGGGUCUGGAGCAUUGAUAGAGGAUUAAACACCUUAUAAAUAGACUUGGAGCUUAUGUAAAAAGGAUUGGAUACCUUAUAGAGGGUCAGGCACUUUCUAGCGCUUAUAAGGAACAUCUAGUUUUGUAUAUGGAAGAUUUAGAACUGUAAAGACAACUGGAACCUCUUAUAAGGAUUCUGACGCUUAUAAGGAGAAUUGGAACCUCCUUAUCAAACCGUUUAUGAGGAAAAUUGAAUUGCAUAAGGAGGAUCUGAAACUAAAUCCUUUAUAAGUAGAAUCAAACUCUUUAUAAGGGGAUUUGAGUUGUUUAUUAGGAUAAUUGAACUCUAUGAGGAAAAUUGAAAUGUGUAAGAGGAUCGUGUUGCUUAUAAGGGAAGUCCAAGCCUAUAUGAAGAUUGUAAACCCUGUAUAAAGUAGAAUUGAACUCUUUCUAAGGGGAUCGAGUCACUUAUAAAGAGAAUUGAAGCCUUUACGAAGAGAAUCGAGGAAAAUUGGAGCUGCAUAAAGCGACCGGAUUGCUUAUAAGAGGAAUCCAAGCUUAUACAAAGAUAAUCAAGUCACUUGUAAGGAGAAUCGAACCCCUUAUAAAGAGAAUCGAACUGUGUAAAGAGGUUUCAGUCGUUUAUAAGGAGAAUCCAAGCCUGUGGAAAGAUGAUUCAGCCCCCUUUUUUAAAUUGUAAACCCAACUCUGUGUAGAUAUGUAAAAAUAGCUUUAUAAGACCAUUGGAAAGGAGAGAGAGAGAGAGAGAGAGAGAGAGAGAGAGAGAGAGACUUGAUUGUGAAAGGAGGAGGGAAAGAGAUUUUUUUUUUUUUUUUUUUGAGCAAUUGAGCGAGUGCUGUUUGUGAAGAUUAGAGCGAGGAAAUAUUUUGUAGAGAGAGAGAGAGAGAGAGAGAGAGAGAGAGAGAGAGAGAGAGAGAGAGAGAGAGAGAGAAAUAAUAUUGUGAUAUGUGUAGUAGUUUGUGAUGGCAUUAUUAUUAUUAUUAUUAUUAUUAUUAUUAUUAUUAUUAUUAUUAUUAUUAUUAUUAUUAUUAUUGUUGUUGUUGUUGUUACUGUUAAGAGGGAGAGAAGUAAUGAUAAUAUCUGAUGCAAGAGAGAGAGAGAAAAAAAUAUAUAUUGAAGAAGGAAAAAGGAAAGAAAAGAGAAUGCAGGAAAAGAAAAUUGAAGGAAAAUAUUGAAAGAAUUAAAAGAAAAAGAGAAGAGAGGAAAUCUGGUUAAUUUAUUUAUUUUAUUUGUUUAUUUAUUUGUUUGUUUAUUUGUGUGUGUGUGUGUGUGGAUGAAAAAGAGGGAAAAAAGUGAUAAUUGGAGGAAAAGCAGAUAAAAACUGACUUUGAGAAUAGAAUAAGAAUGGUGAUAAAGAAAAUAAAACGAAAAGGAAGGAAUGAAAAAAAAUUGCGAGUUUUGAAUUGAGAAGAAAAAAAAAUAAAUAAAUAAAAAUAAAAACAAGAGAUCUGAUAAAAAAAAAAAAAAGAUUGUAAUGAAAAGGAAAUUAAUACAAAAAAAUAAUAUAAGUAAAUGAUAAAAAAAAAAGAAAAAAAAAAAACAAAACUUGUAUAUUUGUGAAAACUUAUAUUUUUGACCGUUCUCGAAAGUUUUGUGGGGAAAAGAGGAAAAAAAAUAUUGCUACAGGAAGUGAAGAAGGAAAAACAGUUUGUGCAGGAAAUUGAGAGAAAAAGUGAAUUAUAGAAAAA